UACGUAGGGUGCGAGCGUUGUCCGGAUUUAUUGGGUUUAAAGGGUGCGUAGGCGGGCUGUUAAGUCUGGGCUGAAAGCCGGCCGCUCAACGGUACGGUUUGGCCUGGAUACUGGCAGUCUUGAGGGCGUUGGGGGCAGGCAGAAUUUGUGGUGUAGCGGUGAAAUGCUCAGAUACCACAAGGAAUACCGAUCGCGAAGGCAGCCUGCUACGACGCCACUGACGCUGAGGCACGAAAGCGUGGGGAGCAAACAGG
This 254-nucleotide ribosomal RNA is filed under the name uncultured bacterium. RNAcentral's name for it is "partial 16S ribosomal RNA". It matches the Rfam family "Bacterial small subunit ribosomal RNA", at positions 524 to 776 of the family's 1533-position model. The record is from RNAcentral.